UACGUAGGGUGCAAGCGUUGUCCGGAAUUAUUGGGCGUAAAGAGCUCGUAGGCGGUCUGUCGCGUCUGCUGUGAAAACUCAGGGCUUAACCCUGAGCUUGCAGUGGGUACGGGCAGACUAGAGUGCGGUAGGGGAGACUGGAAUUCCUGGUGUAGCGGUGAAAUGCGCAGAUAUCAGGAGGAACACCGAUGGCGAAGGCAGGUCUCUGGGCCACUACUGACGCUGAGAAGCGAAAGCGUGGGGAGCGAACAGG
Molecule: ribosomal RNA, 253 nt
Filed under: uncultured bacterium
Lineage: Bacteria
Description: partial 16S ribosomal RNA
Rfam family: Bacterial small subunit ribosomal RNA
Source: RNAcentral